UACGUAGGGGCCGAGCGUUGUCCGGAGUUACUGGGCGUAAAGCGCGCGCAGGCGGCCCCGCGCGCCCGGCGUGAAAGCCCCCGGCUCAACCGGGGAGGGUCGUCGGGGACGGCGGGGCUUGAGGGCGGCAGGGGUCGGUGGAAUGCCCGGUGUAGUGGUGAAAUGCGUAGAGAUCGGGCGGAACACCCGUGGCGAAGGCGGCCGACUGGGCCGGCCCUGACGCUGAGGCGCGAAGGCGUGGGGAGCGAACGGGAUUAGAAACCCCAGUAGUCC
This 273-nucleotide ribosomal RNA is filed under the name uncultured bacterium. RNAcentral's name for it is "partial 16S ribosomal RNA". It matches the Rfam family "Bacterial small subunit ribosomal RNA", at positions 524 to 796 of the family's 1533-position model. The record is from RNAcentral.